RNAcentral lists this ribosomal RNA (301 nucleotides) under uncultured bacterium. RNAcentral's name for it is "partial 16S ribosomal RNA". It matches the Rfam family "Bacterial small subunit ribosomal RNA", at positions 509 to 809 of the family's 1533-position model. The record is from RNAcentral.
CAGUCGCCGCGGUAAUACGUAGGGCGCAAGCGUUGUCCGGAAUCAUUGGGCGUAAAGAGCUCGUAGGCGGUUUGUCACGUCUGCUGUGAAAACUCGGGGCUUAACCCCGAGCUUGCAGUGGAUACGGGCAGACUAGAGGUAGGUAGGGGAGAAUGGAAUUCCCGGUGUAGCGGUGAAAUGCGCAGAUAUCGGGAGGAACACCGGUGGCGAAGGCGGUUCUCUGGGCCUUACCUGACGCUGAGGAGCGAAAGCGUGGGGAGCGAACAGGAUUAGAUACCCCCGUAGUCCCUGUCUCUUAUAA